This is a long non-coding RNA of Calypte anna (Anna's hummingbird), 728 nucleotides long. RefSeq lists it as uncharacterized. The record is from RefSeq and is a predicted model, not a curated record. The transcript has 3 exons. Lineage: Eukaryota; Metazoa; Chordata; Aves; Apodiformes; Trochilidae.
GUGGAGCCACCGGGUUCAGUUCGGAGGGGGCGACCUGGUUCUGGGACCCGGGGCGGUGCGGGGAGUAGGGACAGGAGUGGGCUGAGAGUGGCGUGGGGUGGGAUCCGGGGGGUCCUUCCUUCGCGAGGGGCCGGGCGCUGCCUCACGGCUCCGCGCUGCCGCCCGCUGUUGUCUGAAGCAGAGGGUGAGCGGUUCCGGAGUCCCGGUUUCGAAACCCGGUGGGGUUGUGGCAUGGGGAGGAGGAGGGGACAUCAGACCCGGGGGCCACCGACCUGAUCCCCCAGCAGAGGCAGUCGGACAGUCGGUGAAUUUCUCCUUUCACGUAUGCUUCAAAGGCUGUGUGUCCAUGAUGGAGAAGGGGCAUGGAGAAAGUCUCAUUGCAAACUGGGCAGGGCUGGAGCUGCCAGUGUGACUGAAGUGAAGCCCUGGAACCCCAGGUACCCAGACACAGCCAACCCAACAGCCCUGGGGUGCCAGUUUGCUGACAAGCUUCUGAUGCCACACAUGCAAAUCUGUUCCCACUCCAUUUAUCAAGUUGGUCAGAAGAAAAUGUGCCUGAAAUGGCCACGAAUUUGAGGGAGGAGUUGGCAGUCUGACUUGUGAGUAUGCCUGGGCCAGGCUCUGCAGGUUGCUGCUGUGCUCUCAGUGCAGGAUCUGCCCCACUCUUGGAUCCUUGCUCCACGUGUAUGCUUAUGAAGAUGGUUUCUUACUGUGCAGCUGCAUCUUAG